AUGUAUUCCGGACUGUCCGUGACAAGUUGCCAUUGGAUUUUAGUCAUGCAGAUAAUUAGAACUGCCUGCCGCCCCGUAUUUCCUGCAAUGACAAAAAUUGACCCGAUGGGCUCAAUCAGUGAAGAGUCACAAAAGUCGGCAGAGGUAUCUAUGGAGCGUCCAACUUACAUUAUUAGAAAAAGUCCAGAUGGUUUGAGCGGAAAAUCCGAACAAAAUACCAUGAAUGGACUUGAAAACGGCAACCCAUCGUCAUACACGGAAUUCCAUGUUCUUAAAAGAAGGCAAGUCCUCACAGGUGCAAAAGCAAGUUGGCAUGCGGCAGGGGCUGUUCGCGCUGUGACAAAAACAGGCAUGGAAUGGAUCGUGGAAGCAGGAAGAUUGGUGAAAAAAGGGGCGAAAAUGCUCCGACCAAAGAAUUUAAAAAAACUAUUGAAGCCUAAGAAGAAAAAGGAAGGUAAGGGGGUUGGUUUCUUUCAUCGUAGUCACAAGGAGCACAAGGAGCACAAGAAGCACAAGGAUAAAGACCCUGCGUAAUUUUAAAAAAUGAGGUCAAUCGAUUGAAAGAUGCUGAAAGAAAAGAUUGCAUUUUUUAAGUAAAGAACUCAGAAAUUAGUAAAGUUUUGGAAAAUUUAGUAAGAUUUAUUGUACAAUAAAGUUUGUACUUUGUU
RNAcentral lists this long non-coding RNA (668 nucleotides) under Bemisia tabaci. RNAcentral describes it as "lncRNA ENSSSA3NGG003933". The record is from RNAcentral. Lineage: Eukaryota; Metazoa; Arthropoda; Insecta; Hemiptera; Aleyrodidae.